RNAcentral lists this ribosomal RNA (391 nucleotides) under Chrysophyceae sp. RNAcentral describes it as "partial small subunit ribosomal RNA". It matches the Rfam family "Eukaryotic small subunit ribosomal RNA", at positions 582 to 975 of the family's 1831-position model. Lineage: Eukaryota; Chrysophyceae. The record is from RNAcentral.
AUUCCAGCUCCAAUAGCGUAUACUAAAGUUGUUGCAGUUAAAAAGCUCGUAGUUGGAUUUCUAAUCUCUCUUGGGGUUCCUUUUCUAAAGAAAUGUGCGACCAUUCAAGAGAGAUUAUCCUCGUGCCUAGCCUUUCUCACUUUCAUUAGUCAGGAAGGGGACGCACGUCAUUUACUGUGAGCAAAAUAGAGUGUUCAAAGCAGGCUUAGGCCAUGAAUAUAUCAGCAUGGAAUAAUAAGAUAGGACCUUGGUCUAUUUUGUUGGUUUACAUUCCAAGGUAAUGAUUAAUAGGGAUAGUUGGGGGUAUUCGUAUUCAAUUGUCAGAGGUGAAAUUCUUGGAUUUAUGGAAGACGAACUACUGCGAAAGCAUUUACCAAGGAUGUUUUCAUCA